UGGGGAAUUUUGGACAAUGGGGGAAACCCUGAUCCAGCCAUCCCGCGUGUGCGAUGAAGGCCUUCGGGUUGUAAAGCACUUUUGGCAGGAAAGAAACGUCAUGGGUUAAUACCCCGUGAAACUGACGGUACCUGCAGAAUAAGCACCGGCUAACUACGUGCCAGGAGCCGCGGUAAUACGUAUGGUGCAAGCGUUAAUCGGAAUUACUGGGCGUAAAGCGUGCGCAGGUGGUUCGGAAAGAAAGAUGUGAAAUCCCAGAGCUCAACGUUGGAACUGCAUUUUUAACUACCGGGCUAGGGUGUGUCAGAGGGAGGUGGAAUUCCGCGUGUAGCAGUGAAAUGCGUAGAUAUGCGGAGGAACACCGAUGGCGAAGGCAGCCGCCUGGGAUAACACUGACGCUCAUGCACGAAAGCGUGGGGAGCAAACAGG
This 429-nucleotide ribosomal RNA is filed under the name Acidobacteriota bacterium. Its description in RNAcentral is "Acidobacteria bacterium partial 16S ribosomal RNA". It matches the Rfam family "Bacterial small subunit ribosomal RNA", at positions 355 to 776 of the family's 1533-position model. Lineage: Bacteria; Pseudomonadati; Acidobacteriota. The record is from RNAcentral.